UCUUGAAGUGUACAUUGCACAGUUUAAAUUACAAUAGGAACCAUCCUUCAAGAAUAAAACAAGUUCAGCGAACGUGAAUUAAAAAUGAAUUUUAAAAUUAUUGUUUUGUUUGUCGUGAUACUUUUCGCAUUCGAAGUAGAAAGAGCUGCAGGAUAUUGCUCGCCUUCUAUUUGUAGCAUCGAUUGUAGGAACCAGGGAUACAAACAAUGGGCAUGUAAGGUCGUGAAUGGUGAGCGACAAUGCGUGUGCUCAAAAAGAGAAUAUUGCUCGCCUUCCGUUUGUUCCAUCGACUGUAAGCGCAAAGGAUCCAGCGGUGGCCGUUGUGAUGUCUCGGAAGAGACAGAAACAUGCAUAUGUGUAUAAUAUGCGCAGAACUUUGAUCAAACCACUUCAAAAUCAAUUGAAAUCAAUUCAAGACAUUCGAAUUUUGUUUGAAGAAAAGCAACUUAAAUGAAGUAACUUUCAAUAAUGUAAUUUGUUCUUUUUUGAAAUGUAAACAUUAAAUAAAU
Molecule: long non-coding RNA, 509 nt
Organism: Sitodiplosis mosellana (orange wheat blossom midge)
Lineage: Eukaryota; Metazoa; Arthropoda; Insecta; Diptera; Cecidomyiidae
Exons: 3
Source: RefSeq, a predicted model, not a curated record